This 495-nucleotide ribosomal RNA is filed under the name uncultured bacterium. RNAcentral's name for it is "partial 16S ribosomal RNA". It matches the Rfam family "Bacterial small subunit ribosomal RNA", at positions 28 to 507 of the family's 1533-position model. The record is from RNAcentral.
GACGAACGCUGGCGGCGUGCCUAAUACAUGCAAGUAGAACGCUGAAGGAGGAGCUUGCUUCUCUGGAUGAGUUGCGAACGGGUGAGUAACGCGUAGGUAACCUGCCUGGUAGCGGGGGAUAACUAUUGGAAACGAUAGCUAAUACCGCAUAAGAGUAGAUGUUGCAUGACAUUUGCUUAAAAGGUGCAAUUGCAUCACUACCAGAUGGACCUGCGUUGUAUUAGCUAGUUGGUGGGGUAACGGCUUACCAAGGCGACGAUACAUAGCCGACCUGAGAGGGUGAUCGGCCACACUGGGACUUAGACACGGCCCAGACUCCUACGGGAGGCAGCAGUAGGGAAUCUUCGGCAAUGGACGGAAGUCUGACCGAGCAACGCCGCGUGAGUGAAGAAGGUUUUCGGAUCGUAAAGCUCUGUUGUAAGAGAAGAACGAGUGUGAGAGUGGAAAGUUCACACUGUGACGGUAUCUUACCAGAAAGGGACGGCUAACUACGUG